AUUUUGUGUAAAAUGUCGGCGAGCGGCGGACGGCUGAGUAACGCGUGGGAACGUACCCCAAAGUGAGGGAUAACGCAUCGAAAGGUGUGCUAAUACCGCAUAUGGUCUUCGGAUUAAAGCCUUCGGGCGCUUUGGGAACGGCCUGCGUAAGAUUAGAUAGUUGGUGGGGUAAUGGCCUACCAAGUCGACGAUCUUUAACUGGUUUGAGAGGAUGAUCAGUCAGACUGGAACUGAGACACGGUCCAGACUCC
This 251-nucleotide ribosomal RNA is filed under the name uncultured Candidatus Saccharibacteria bacterium. RNAcentral describes it as "partial 16S ribosomal RNA". It matches the Rfam family "Bacterial small subunit ribosomal RNA", at positions 74 to 339 of the family's 1533-position model. Lineage: Bacteria; Candidatus Saccharimonadota. The record is from RNAcentral.